UACAGAGGGUGCGAGCGUUAAUCGGAAUUACUGGGCGUAAAGCGCACGUAGGCGGCUUGGUAUGUCGGUGGUGAAAUCCCCGGGCUCAACCUGGGAACUGCAUUCGAAACUGCCUUGCUCGAGUAUGGGAGAGGGAAGUGGAAUUUCCGGUGUAGCGGUGAAAUGCGUAGAUAUCGGAAGGAACAUCAGUGGCGAAGGCGACUUCCUGGACCAAUACUGACGCUCAGGUGCGAAAGCGUGGGGAGCAAACAGG
This 253-nucleotide ribosomal RNA is filed under the name uncultured bacterium. Its description in RNAcentral is "partial 16S ribosomal RNA". It matches the Rfam family "Bacterial small subunit ribosomal RNA", at positions 524 to 776 of the family's 1533-position model. The record is from RNAcentral.